GGAAUCUUUGUUUCUGCACAAUAUUUCUAUAUGCUGCCUCUUACCUGGAAGCCCCAUCCUGCUGACCUGUUUUUGUGUCUUGGUUGUGGUCUCACGUCCUGUUUCUGCAUCUCUGCUGAGCCCUUUGAAGAAGAGUUUGAACUUCCCCAUAGACAUUGACAUUGGAUGUCCUUGAUUGUGAGGCCUCCAGCUCCUGCCUGGUCCCAUCCUAUUCUUCGCUGUGUCCUGCUUUGGCUCCCAGGAUCCUAGCCUACGGGCCCUGCUUGCCCAGAUUAAUAGGCAGUGGAAGCGAAGGGGACUCACCAGCCCCCAGCCACCGACAGUUCCACCCCAGCCGGUGCCACAGGCCAGGGCUGAGCUGCCAAGACUCCUCAGUGUCAAGACACCUUAAGGGUCCAGUGAUCCCUGGAUGAUGUACGAAUGCCUUAUGUAAUAUCUACUAUGGAUUCACUAGCGUUGACCAGCACAGUAGCGGCACUGUAACUCGGGCCUGAAGGAAGCUCACCUAACACAGAGAUUUUCUCCGUAAAAUCAUCACAGCCUUCCUGCACUUACACACUCUAGACAGAACUUCAGCACUACACUUGGGG
This 590-nucleotide long non-coding RNA is filed under the name Equus caballus (horse). RNAcentral describes it as "lncRNA (ENSECAG00000048561.1)". The record is from RNAcentral. Lineage: Eukaryota; Metazoa; Chordata; Mammalia; Perissodactyla; Equidae.